GUCAUAUCACCUUGAAAUACCGGUUUUCGUAUGAUCACCGAAGUUAAGCAACGUCGAACAUGGUCAGUGUCUCGAUGGUUGACCGCUUGGGAAUACCAGGUGCUGUAAG
This is a non-coding RNA of Acanthosepion pharaonis, 109 nucleotides long. NCBI's taxonomy places the organism in Eukaryota, Metazoa, Mollusca, Cephalopoda, Sepiida, Sepiidae. The record is from the annotation of a GenBank genome assembly.